AGAGCUGUAUGUUUUUAUUUUUACUAGGAUUCCACAGAAUGCGCAAGUAUGUACACAAUGUGUGCUCUGCUGCCUAACCUUGAUCAGAGAGCAGAAUCAACAUGCAGCUUGGUUAAAAUCAUCAUUGUUCUGGAUGAAAGCUAGAAGAUUUGAUGUCAAUAUGAAGGGAGGGAGCUUAGAAAUCAGAACGUAAAUAACAAGAUUCCCUAAAUUCUUGCAUUUUGCCAGUCAACUGACAGACUGAAAUACCCGGGCAAAAGUGAAGUGUUCAGGCUGAGUCUUCUCUUGGACCAUUCAUGAAUAAUUAUUGCUGGAAUACACACACACACUUACUGUGUCAGGCUAAUGGUCUCUCUAGCCUCAUUUUUAUCUCUAACAUGCCUCAUACUUAAACAGGUGUAUAGCAGAAAAUAGGGUUGCCAAUAAUCUGGUACAAGGGAUACUGAUAUACUGGACUCUCAGCCAACAGAAAGGUAAGACUCUGAGCUUUCUUUUUUUUAAGGCAAUUCUCUAGCCCUCCUAGAAAGAAAGUUAUGAAGCAAAACGUGCAGGUAACCUUCUAAACAAUUCUUGUGAUAUAAGCCAGCUUGGCUGCUCCUGCCAGUCAAUGGUUUUAGCCAAUGAGUGAAGUCAGAACUGUGAUUGACAAGUGAGUUGUUUGGACAGCAGGCCAUAGGAAUUCUUGGGAUCCUCAAAAGCUACUGUCCCCCCCCCCAUUUAGUGCAUUUUUCCUGUUUCAUUCUUAUAUUCAAGUAGUCCACGAUAUCUCCAUAGUUUGCCCUUCUUCUCCCCCUAGCAACCAGGAUGCAUCUUUCCUGUGAUGGGUUCGUCUGAGAUCAAGCACUCCCUAGCGGCUGAGUUGUGCACCAUCUCAAAAUACUCCAAUUCAGCAAGAUAUAACCACAUAGCACAGCAGGGACACAUCUAUACAGCUGAUGCAGGCACAGAUCCACAUUUGGAUGCAUAUUUUAAAAUCUACUGCAGUGCUCAGUUGAGCCCCACUGGAUGUGGACAGGAAUAGACAUCCAUAUCCAGGAUCACUAGGUUUUGAGUGAGGCUAAUGGCCAGAGCUGGAUCAGAGCAAUAAGGAUAUUUUCUGUAUUGUUUUCUAGCCCAUUUUUAUUAACACAAGCCCUAACACUCUAUUUCCCAUUUUGGUGACAAAAACACAUUGUGCAAUGCUACCACGUUAUGGAAAUUAUUCCAAGAUCUAUUCAUUGAAUACCGAUAGCUCAUUAAGAAGCCCAAUAGGGUGGGAGAUAAUUUGUUCUUGUUGUUCCUAACUUUACACACUGGGACUCAAGUCUUGUAAGGACCAAACUAGACAUGAAAUGAAGUUGCACUUCUUUUUCCCCUAAUGGAUUGGAUUUAUUUAUUUUUUUUAAAAAAAGGAAGAGGAGCCUCUGAGGCUGUGAUCAGGAGACAAAGGAGUGGGGAGAGAGAAAGAGAGAGAGAGUUGCUUAACCCUUUCCCAUAAGGCUCUAUCGUAUCAAUUGUGGAGGAAAAAAAGCCUAAUGGAAGAGCAAUUUAUUCAUUUGUCCAAUAUAUUUAUGAGGCGCCCUAGAAAAUAACUUUUCUAGGCAUCACAGAGGAUUAUAAAAUGUAAGAAUAACAACCUACAGCAGCCCAAAAACUCAUGAUCAGGGGUAUUUUUUUAAAAAAAUUAGGUCUUCACAGGUUCACUUCUAGGUUUGUGGUUAUCAUUGGGGGGGGGGGGCUCUGACAUCAAGAAAGUCCCUAACUGCCCCACAUGGUUUCCUACAUACACUCUAUAACAUCUGGGAGUGCUUUGGUUCACCUAUCCCAGCACCCAAUUAUUUAAUGCCUCUCUCCCUCCACACACCAUGGAUUCAAAUUCCUCUUUAAAACAUUCCUCUUCCAUAGAAGUCAUUAGCUCAGCCUUUCCCAAACCUCAGAUUUCCUGUCAGUGGCUGGGGCUGGAGGGCAUCAGUAUGGGGGAAGCCAGUGUUAGUUCAUCCCUUUAGCUUUUGUCUCCCAAUAAAACUAACCCUAAGCAAGUGCAACCGCCCUUGCACGUUUCCUCCAGUUACGAUUGGCUCUGUCACGAUCUCCUCCCACGGUUCUCACUCCCCUGGUUGAAAUUUAGACGUGGUGG
This is a long non-coding RNA of Podarcis muralis (Common wall lizard), 2116 nucleotides long. Lineage: Eukaryota; Metazoa; Chordata; Lepidosauria; Squamata; Lacertidae. The record is from Ensembl.